GUGUAGCUCAGUGGUAGAGUGCUUGCCUAGCAUGCAGGACGUCUUGAGUUUAAUCCCCAGCAC
Molecule: transfer RNA, 63 nt
Filed under: Heterocephalus glaber (naked mole-rat)
Lineage: Eukaryota; Metazoa; Chordata; Mammalia; Rodentia; Bathyergidae
Rfam family: tRNA
About the family: Transfer RNA (tRNA) molecules are approximately 80 nucleotides in length. Their secondary structure includes four short double-helical elements and three loops (D, anti-codon, and T loops). Further hydrogen bonds mediate the characteristic L-shaped molecular structure. tRNAs have two regions of fundamental functional importance: the anti-codon, which is responsible for specific mRNA codon recognition, and the 3' end, to which the tRNAs corresponding amino acid is attached (by aminoacyl-tRNA synthetases). tRNAs cope with the degeneracy of the genetic code in two manners: having more than one tRNA (with a specific anti-codon) for a particular amino acid; and 'wobble' base-pairing, i.e. permitting non-standard base-pairing at the 3rd anti-codon position.
Source: Rfam by way of RNAcentral